This 915-nucleotide ribosomal RNA is filed under the name Flavobacterium sp. CB 286464. Its description in RNAcentral is "bacterial SSU rRNA". It matches the Rfam family "Bacterial small subunit ribosomal RNA", at positions 59 to 980 of the family's 1533-position model. Lineage: Bacteria; Pseudomonadati; Bacteroidota; Flavobacteriia; Flavobacteriales; Flavobacteriaceae. The record is from RNAcentral.
CAGUCGAGGGGUAUAAGUCUUCGGAUUUAGAGACCGGCGCACGGGUGCGUAACGCGUAUGCAAUCUACCUUUUACAGAGGGAUAGCCCAGAGAAAUUUGGAUUAAUACCUCAUAGUAUUAUGAAAUGGCAUCAUUUUAUAAUUAAAGUCACAACGGUAAAAGAUGAGCAUGCGUCCCAUUAGCUAGUUGGUAAGGUAACGGCUUACCAAGGCUACGAUGGGUAGGGGUCCUGAGAGGGAGAUCCCCCACACUGGUACUGAGACACGGACCAGACUCCUACGGGAGGCAGCAGUGAGGAAUAUUGGACAAUGGGCGCAAGCCUGAUCCAGCCAUGCCGCGUGCAGGAUGACGGUCCUAUGGAUUGUAAACUGCUUUUGUACGAGAAGAAACACUCCUAUGUAUAGGAGCUUGACGGUAUCGUAAGAAUAAGGAUCGGCUAACUCCGUGCCAGCAGCCGCGGUAAUACGGAGGAUCCAAGCGUUAUCCGGAAUCAUUGGGUUUAAAGGGUCCGUAGGCGGUUUAAUAAGUCAGUGGUGAAAGCCCAUCGCUCAACGGUGGAACGGCCAUUGAUACUGUUAAACUUGAAUUAUUAGGAAGUAACUAGAAUAUGUAGUGUAGCGGUGAAAUGCUUAGAGAUUACAUGGAAUACCAAUUGCGAAGGCAGGUUACUACUAAUGGAUUGACGCUGAUGGACGAAAGCGUGGGUAGCGAACAGGAUUAGAUACCCUGGUAGUCCACGCCGUAAACGAUGGAUACUAGCUGUUGGAAGCAAUUUCAGUGGCUAAGCGAAAGUGAUAAGUAUCCCACCUGGGGAGUACGUUCGCAAGAAUGAAACUCAAAGGAAUUGACGGGGGCCCGCACAAGCGGUGGAGCAUGUGGUUUAAUUCGAUGAUACGCGAGGAACCUUACCAAGGC